CAAAUUCCUUGUAUGUGUAAACCUGCUUGACAAUAAAACCCAAUUCUGAUUCUGAUAAGACACCCUGAUCCACAGUCCAUACCAGCUGGUGGCGGUAAUACACCAAAUCGUUGUUUGCCAACCGCCAAUGAAACCCAGAAGCAGAAGAAGAAGAAUCAGAAGCAGAAUCAGAAGAAGAAGAAGAAGAAGAAGACCACCAAAGUGAACAUGGGGCUGAACGGGCUGAAGUCAACUCCUGAGUCCGAGGAGGACGUGAGGAUGUUUAGACCAGGAGUUCAUGCGUCUCUACCCAAACACUCGUACUGGUUUGACUUCUGGGUGUUCGUGCUCUUCGACAUCGCCUUCUUCCUCGUCAUGUAUUUCAUUGUCCCGUAACCAGGUUUGUCUUCUGGACUGUGGAGCCUGAAGACACGGAGUGCUGGUCCCGCCCUGUCCUGAGAAACGCUAACCGAGCUUUGACUGACUUUUCCUGCUGCGUUAUGUGACACAACACAUCGAGGUUCCACGCCUCGCACCAUGUGCCUGAAGGUUUUAUACACGCAGCCUCCUGCUUUCAUUUCAGAGAUUUGAACCAUACGACUCCCUCCUCCUGUGACCUGUUGCCAGCUGCUGUUACUUCAUGGGUGGAUUUAUUUUGUUGCCACGUGAAAAAUAAACAAUUUAAUUAUUUAUAUUAUUGAAAAGUGGACUUGGAAAAUUAACAUGUAAUAUCACUAAAAUUCUAUUUUAUGUAUUAUCACUUAUAUAGAAUUAUCCUAGUGGAGUGAAGCUGUGCAAUGUUUUUGAUGAAGUUGACACUGAAAACCGAAUGAAUGGGGACACAAAGUGAUUGUAUCAUAUUUUACGUGUUUUAGACAAAUGUCUCCAAAUAAUCUGAUCAACACCCGAGUCAUGGAAAGAAAAGAACAAUCUCAAAUCUUAAAGGUUUGAGGAGAUCAAGAUGAUCCAGUGUGGGGUCACUUAGGAGAAAUUACAAUAUCGGUGAACUGAAAUGUUGACAGUUUGCACAGUGAACAUACUGCAAAUAAAGUGUUUAUACCAACCA
Hippoglossus stenolepis (Pacific halibut) is the source of this 1045-nucleotide long non-coding RNA. RefSeq lists it as uncharacterized. The record is from RefSeq and is a predicted model, not a curated record. Lineage: Eukaryota; Metazoa; Chordata; Actinopteri; Pleuronectiformes; Pleuronectidae. The transcript is spliced from 2 exons.